RNAcentral lists this unclassified non-coding RNA (341 nucleotides) under soil metagenome. RNAcentral describes it as "partial contains 5.8S ribosomal RNA, internal transcribed spacer 2, and large subunit ribosomal RNA". The stretch from base 1 to 120 matches the Rfam family "5.8S ribosomal RNA", at positions 35 to 154 of the family's 154-position model. The record is from RNAcentral.
GAUGAAGAACGUAGCAAAAUGCGAUAAGUAAUGUGAAUUGCAGAAUUCAGUGAAUCAUCGAAUCUUUGAACGCACAUUGCGCCCGCCAGUAUUCUGGCGGGCAUGCCUGUUCGAGCGUCAUUUCAACCAUCAAGCCCCCGGCUUGUGUUGGGGACCUGCGGCUGCCCGCAGGCCCUGAAAACCGGUGGCGGUCUCGCUGUCACACCGAGCGUAGUAAGCAUUAUCUCGCUCAGGGCGUGCUGCGGGUUCCGGCCGUUAAAUGAAAAGCCUUCGUAGCCCAAGGUUGACCUCGGAUCAGGUAGGAAGACCCGCUGAACUUAAGCAUAUCAAUAAGCGGAGGA